AUUGAACGCUGGCGGCAUGCUCUACACAUGCAAGUCGAACGGUAACAGGCCGCAAGGUGCUGACGAGUGGCGAACGGGUGAGUAAUGCAUCGGAACGUGCCCAGUCGUGGGGGAUAACUACUCGAAAGAGUAGCUAAUACCGCAUACGAUCUAUGGAUGAAAGCGGGGGACCGUAAGGCCUCGCGCGAUUGGAGCGGCCGAUGUCAGAUUAGGUAGUUGGUGGGGUAAAGGCUCACCAAGCCAACGAUCUGUAGCUGGUCUGAGAGGACGACCAGCCACACUGGGACUGAGACACGGCCCAGACUCCUACGGGAGGCAGCAGUGGGGAAUUUUGGACAAUGGGCGCAAGCCUGAUCCAGCAAUGCCGCGUGCAGGAAGAAGGCCUUCGGGUUGUAAACUGCUUUUGUACGGAACGAAACGGCUCUGGUUAAUACCCGGGGCUAAUGACGGUACCGUAAGAAUAAGCACCGGCUAACUACGU
This 481-nucleotide ribosomal RNA is filed under the name uncultured bacterium. Its description in RNAcentral is "partial 16S ribosomal RNA". It matches the Rfam family "Bacterial small subunit ribosomal RNA", at positions 30 to 506 of the family's 1533-position model. The record is from RNAcentral.